AAGUUUCACGACAAUGGAAUUACCAAAAAUCGUAACCUUUCCACCAAUUGAAUUAAUUUUUUUUUUAAUAAGACACUGAAUUUUCAAAAAACAAUAAUCGGUUUAGAAACAUCAAUAGGAGGUAUCAAACCGUAUAAGUUGAAGAGAUGGGGUUGACAAUCACUUGUUGGUGAAAAAAUGAUGCCACAGUACCAGACUAGUUUGUACGAAGAAAGCAAUUUUUUUUUUUUUUGAAACGAAAAAGGUCAUAAAAGUUUCAUAUCUUUCUAUGUUUAAAGAAAGGUUAACCAGAAAAUUACCAUGUUGUGUAAAAGAUCUGUUGCAAUAAUUUAAAAAAUUUGGACAUACGGUUUUGUAUCUUUUCUUUUGUGUUUAACACCUUAUAAAGCGAGUGAGCAUAAACUAAUAUCUAAAACACUGUCGUUGAUGGCACUCUACCACAAAUUAGUCAUGAAAUGUUUGAAAAUGGGAAACCUUAACAAUAAAAUCAAAGGACGAGAAAUGUUUUCAGAGUUCAUCAAUAAACUUUGCAGUGUGUCCCUAGAAGAAAAAUUCUAGUAAACGUAAAGCUUCGCCGUGGCUAAGCGACGUAUUAGUAAAAUUUUCCUUUUAGCCUACUGUUAAUUAGUGUCAGGGAAACAAAAUUGACAGUUUGCGAACAAAUUCAAUGCCAAGCUUUCCCUUAGUAAUAUAUAGAAGAAUUAUGUAGGCUGUCAGAAACCGUCUUCAUAAUUUGAAAACGCGUUUCCAGAGAGCGAACGUGAAGUAGAGCUACUUCACCUUGGCUAUUGGGUAAAAAACAAUGAAUACCAGUAGUACUUUUUUUUGUGGAACUUAAAAAAAGUGUCGUGAAGCACUGACAAUGUAGGUUUUACUAUGACGUGCAAGAUAAAUGAAAAGUUUGACUGAAACAUAACAUGUGUUGGGUGGAGAGUGUUUUUUUCUAAAAUAAAUAAUCUCUAGUUGAAGGUGCUUUUUAUAAUACACCAGAAAAUAUUUUGAAAAAAGAAAAGCAGCUUAAGGAAAAUCUAAGCGUGAAAAUGAAUUGAAAUGUUGUCCAAAAUUUAGUCACAAAAUUGCUCAUUUGCCUUUCCUGAGGAUUGGAAUUAGGCUAAAACUUG
Hylaeus volcanicus is the source of this 1121-nucleotide long non-coding RNA. RefSeq lists it as uncharacterized. The transcript is spliced from 3 exons. The record is from RefSeq and is a predicted model, not a curated record. NCBI's taxonomy places the organism in Eukaryota, Metazoa, Arthropoda, Insecta, Hymenoptera, Colletidae.